AAAGAGAAAUGGAGGAUAGAAAGGGGGAGAAGAGGGAGGCGGCGCGGUGGGUGCCACUGCCACCGUCGUCGCCGUUGCUAGCCGAGGGGAAGGGAGAUCUGGGCGAGCACGAAGAGAGAGAGAGAGAGCUCGCGAAACAGGGAGA
Arachis ipaensis is the source of this 145-nucleotide non-coding RNA. The record is from RefSeq and is a predicted model, not a curated record. NCBI's taxonomy places the organism in Eukaryota, Viridiplantae, Streptophyta, Magnoliopsida, Fabales, Fabaceae.